CGGGUGAGUAACGCGUGGGUAACCUGCCUCAUACAGGGGGAUAACAGUUAGAAAUGACUGCUAAUACCGCAUAAGCGCACAGUGCUGCAUGGCACGGUGUGAAAAACUCCGGUGGUAUGAGAUGGACCCGCGUCUGAUUAGCUAGUUGGUGGGGUAACGGCCUACCAAGGCGACGAUCAGUAGCCGGCCUGAGAGGGUGAACGGCCACAUUGGGACUGAGACACGGCCCAA
RNAcentral lists this ribosomal RNA (231 nucleotides) under uncultured bacterium. RNAcentral's name for it is "partial 16S ribosomal RNA". It matches the Rfam family "Bacterial small subunit ribosomal RNA", at positions 103 to 334 of the family's 1533-position model. The record is from RNAcentral.